Non-coding RNA from Saccoglossus kowalevskii, 82 nucleotides. NCBI's taxonomy places the organism in Eukaryota, Metazoa, Hemichordata, Enteropneusta, Harrimaniidae. The record is from the annotation of a RefSeq genome assembly.
GCUGUGAUGGCCCAGUGGUUAAGGAGUUGGACUCGAAAUCCAAUGGGGCCUCCCCGCGCAGGUUCAAACCCUGAUCGCAGCG